CCUCUUCAAUUGAUGUUAGUGGGAGCGGCAUGUUUGUAUCCGGGAUCACACAGAAUGAUCCCGGAACAAUCACUGGACAAGUUUCAACUGACAUGAUAGGAAACUCUAAAAGAAGACGUGGUCCAAAUGUUGAAACUCUUCUAUCGGAUAAUGUGUUGAAGAAGGCGCAUUCUCAAGACAAGGAAAACCAUGUCCCUGUUCAUGUCCUGGGACGUACAGGUCAUGGACUAAAUAUUGAGAAUCGUUUUCGUGAUGGUAUAUAU
This is a long non-coding RNA of Daucus carota subsp. sativus, 263 nucleotides long. RefSeq lists it as uncharacterized. The transcript is spliced from 3 exons. NCBI's taxonomy places the organism in Eukaryota, Viridiplantae, Streptophyta, Magnoliopsida, Apiales, Apiaceae. The record is from RefSeq and is a predicted model, not a curated record.